AGUACUCUGGAGGGAGUUGCUUUCUAGGCAUGGCCAAGAAAUUCAAUGGGUAGCAGGCUCAACAAAUUUUGGUAUGGCCAUGCAGUAUAUAUAUAGGUCUGCAAAUUGGAGCAGGUGCUUUAAAGAAUAUAGUGGGGAUACCGACUGACGUCGGAGAAAUAUUAAUAGUCUGAAAGCAAGCAAGCAAGAUAUAUUAAUAGUCUGAAAGCAAUGCUGAUGUUCCGAGAAAAGCUUCCUGCAUUCAAUGUGAAGUCUGAGUUCCUGAGAGCUGUUUCUGAAAAUCAGUAGGUGUUGGUAGUCUCGGGUGAGCAGCAAAGCU
Long non-coding RNA from Rosa chinensis, 319 nucleotides. RefSeq lists it as uncharacterized. NCBI's taxonomy places the organism in Eukaryota, Viridiplantae, Streptophyta, Magnoliopsida, Rosales, Rosaceae. The record is from RefSeq and is a predicted model, not a curated record. The transcript is spliced from 3 exons.